CCUACGGGAGGCAGCAGUGGGGAAUCUUGCACAAUGGGGGAAACCCUGAUGCAGCGAUGCCGCGUGAGUGAAGAAGGCCUUUGGGUUGUAAAACUCUUUCGUCGGGGAAGAAAAUGACUGUACCCGAAUAAGAAGGUCCGGCUAACUUCGUGCCAGCAGCCGCGGUAAUACGAAGGGACCUAGCGUAGUUCGGAAUUACUGGGCUUAAAGAGCUCGUAGGUGGUUAAAAAAGUUGAUGGUGAAAUCCCAAGGCUCAACCUUGGAACUGCCAUCAAAACUUUUUAGCUAGAGUGUGAUAGAGGUAAGUGGAAUUUCUGGUGUAGAGGUGAAAUUCGUAGAGAUCAGAAGGAACAUCAAUGGCGAAGGCAGCUCUCUGGCCAAAGACUGACGCUCAUGUGCGAAAGUGUGGGUAGCGAACAGGAUUAGAUACCCUGGUAGUCCACACCGUAAACGCUGUCUACUAGCUGUAUGUGUAUUUAAUACGUGUGUAGCGAAGCUAACGCGCUAAGUAGACCGCCUGGGGAGUACGGUCGCAAGAUUAAAACUCAAAUGAAUUGACGGA
This 562-nucleotide ribosomal RNA is filed under the name uncultured bacterium. RNAcentral's name for it is "bacterial SSU rRNA". It matches the Rfam family "Bacterial small subunit ribosomal RNA", at positions 338 to 917 of the family's 1533-position model. The record is from RNAcentral.